GAUGAACGCUGGCGGCGUGCUUAACACAUGCAAGUCGAACGGAAAGGCCCAAUCUUGCUUGGGUACUCGAGUGGCGAACGGGUGAGUAACACGUGGGCGAUCUGCCCUGCACUUCGGGAUACGCCUGGGAAACUGGGACUCAUACCGGAUAGGACGAUGGUUUGGAUGCGAUUGUGGAAAGUUUUUUCGGUGUGGGAUGAGCUCGCGGCCUAUCAGCGUGUUGGUGGGGGAAUGGCCUACCAAGGCGUAGACGGGUAGCCGGCCUGAGAGGGUGUACGGGCACAUUGGGAAUGAGAUACGGCCCAGACUCCUAAGGGAGGCAGCAGGGGGGAAGAUUGGACAAUGGGCGGAAGCCUGAUGCAGCGACGCCGCGGGGGGGAUGACGGCCUUCGGGUUGGAAACUCCUUUCGCUAGGGACGAAGCGUUGUUGUGACGGUACCUGGAGAAGAAGCACCGGCUAACUACGUG
This 468-nucleotide ribosomal RNA is filed under the name uncultured bacterium. RNAcentral describes it as "partial 16S ribosomal RNA". It matches the Rfam family "Bacterial small subunit ribosomal RNA", at positions 28 to 507 of the family's 1533-position model. The record is from RNAcentral.